RNAcentral lists this ribosomal RNA (246 nucleotides) under Drosophila simulans. RNAcentral's name for it is "partial 18S ribosomal RNA". The record is from RNAcentral. Lineage: Eukaryota; Metazoa; Arthropoda; Insecta; Diptera; Drosophilidae.
AGGUAGGCAGUGGUUGCCGACCUCCCGCAUUAUUCGAAAUAUUUAUUUCGGAUUAUGUUUAUAUUGGUUACAUACAAUAAAGUAUAUUAUUAUCCGUACAAAUUUGUUUCUCAGUUCUAUAGAACACGGGACUUGGCUCCGCGGAUAAUAGGAAUAUACGCUUUUUAGAUAAUAUCGUUGAAACAAAAGUCAAGUUUCUAUUAUAUAUAGAAUAACAAAUCGUUUCCAUAUAUUAUCGUUAAUUUU